UGCAGUCUUUAUUCAUAAGGAGCCUGUUCGUGUUUUUCCAGCAUCAUUCCCAAUGCUUCAUGGACAAGAUCUCCCUUCAGAUCUGAAGACAGCAAAGCUACCAGGAUGUCCUGUCUUUGGAUGAGUCUGAGUCUCCUCUUUGUCCUACAGCACAGCGUCUCAUCAGAUGAAGUUGCAAAACUGUUUUGCCCUCAAACAGUGGAAGUUGGAGCUGGAGAAUCUAUAUCGAUAAACUGCAGCAUACAAGACACUAACUCUAGAUGUGAAGGCACUAAAUUUACCUGGAAUGUCUCAGAUCAAAGUGGUUCAAACCAAGUCAACCUUUGUAAAAAUCACAGCAAUUUCAUAUGUCAGUGGGAUAACCAGACAUAUGUGUCACUGACCAUCCAAAAAGUCACAACAGACAAAAAUGUCACAGUAGAGAUUAAUUUAAGCUGUGGCAUGGACACUGCUGAAAUCCAAGUAAAGAUUCGAGGUAAUAUCAGGGAUAUCGGUACACUUCCUACAACAAGAAGCUACACAGCUUUUAACAAGACAGAUCCAUCAGCCAUCAGUUUAGGGGCAGAAAUGAAUGUCGCCUUCAUCAUGUUUGGUAUUUUUGUCACAGCUGGAGUAAUUUCAUAUUUCCUUUACAAAGCCAAAAAAUGCAGAAACUCACAGCUGAGAGGAAACCAAGAAGAAAUAUAUUCACCCGUCCAGGAUUUUGAGUAGAGGACAACUGGACUUUUUAUUUUGAAGACGUGUCACCUGUCAUCUAAAAGACUUUUUAACAAACUGAUCCCACCUGAUCAUUCUCUGGGUCGCUUAGUUCAUGCUGACCUGUGAGGACUUUACCUGCCCGACGACCGUGUUGGUCACAAGAUCCAAGAUACAAAUUGUUGUCGAGUCAAAGCUGAUUUUAUUCCGAAUGUAGCACAUUUAAAACUGAUUUUUAAAAUAUGGGUACACUUUCUCACUGUUUGUGGUGGUUGGUUUGUGUUUAGUACUCUGAAGACUAAAUGUUUUAGUUUUUGUCACUACCAGAACAUAAAGAAGUGGCAGUGCACUGCAUCCUACACACUGUUUCUCUGUGGAUGCAGGCCCAUGCCGCAGGACAGAGUAUAAGCCUCCAGCUGUCUUGACGACAGAGAUUCUCUCUAAUUUAUGUUUGUAGUUGUUGCUGUCACUUUCAGAUUCUCCAUUAUUCUGACAUUAUGGUCAUUAAACUAGUGCUUGUGUAAAUAAAAGUGUGCUGUACCCAUUUUUAAUUUAGCAAAAUUAGCUUGCACCCAGGUGUUAUGUUCCUAUUGAAGCUUAGCUGAGCUGAUCAAACUCCACAUCUACUGCAGAGCCAGAGUGUAAGGAGGUUUUUUUUUUAUUUAUUUUUUAACCAACGCAAAAAGAGCUUUAAUGGCUCCUCUGUUUUAAAUGGCUUUUUCCAGUUUAACACCUCUUAAUCCACAACAGGAAUUUACUUUAUCUUUGGGACACUGAUAGCCAGCCUGUUGUUGUACACUGUACUAUAGUCGCUAUACAAAUAAACCUGCUUUGCCUUAUCAAAUUCUAUCUACAGAGAAAAUGAUGUGGUGUUGAAAUGUAGAAGAAGAAACAGAAAAGGAGAAGAUGAAUCAUUCUCUGGGUUUGGUUUGAUAUGGUGUAUGUAUAAAUUUAUAUUUGCAAAGUCAAAUUCCAAAUAAAGCUGCCCU
Molecule: long non-coding RNA, 1685 nt
Organism: Melanotaenia boesemani (Boeseman's rainbowfish)
Lineage: Eukaryota; Metazoa; Chordata; Actinopteri; Atheriniformes; Melanotaeniidae
Exons: 4
Source: RefSeq, a predicted model, not a curated record